CUCUACUGUUCGUCUCUUCCCCUUCCUUUAAUUUCUUCUCUCCAAGGCAGAGUUACUUUUUUGUUUUAAAGACGAAAGAUCGAAUCAAUGGCUGAGGAAUUUGGCAAGUCCGUCGAGGAUGGUCUCAAGCUCUCCAAGCGUUUAUACUUCGGGAAGGACAGGGCCGUCACUCCUCCUAAGCCGCCGCUGUCCAUGGAGAAGUCUUCAGAAAUGUCACUCCCAACGGCACCCAUGGUUUACGCUGUCAUAUCUGAUCCGGCUAUUGUGGAUAACCCGGACAUGCCUAGCUACCAGCCGCACG
This 301-nucleotide unclassified non-coding RNA is filed under the name Hevea brasiliensis (rubber tree). The record is from RNAcentral. Lineage: Eukaryota; Viridiplantae; Streptophyta; Magnoliopsida; Malpighiales; Euphorbiaceae.